GAUGAAGAACGCAGCGAAAUGCGAUACGUAAUGUGAAUUGCAGAAUUCAGUGAAUCAUCGAAUCUUUGAACGCAUAUUGCGCUCUCUGGUAUUCCGGAGAGCAUGCUUGUUUGAGUAUCAGUAAACACCUCAACUUCCAUAUCUUUUUUGAAAUGGGAGUUGGACUUGAGUGAUCCCAACGCUUUUCCUCACCGAAAAGUGGCGGGUUACUUGAAAUGCAGGUGCAGCUGGACUUUUCUCUGAGCUAUAAGCAUAUCUAUUUAGUCUGCCUAAAAACAGAUUAUUACCUUUGCUGCAGCUAACAUAAAGGAGAUUAGUUCUUGUGCUGACUGAUGCAGGAUUCACAAAGACAGGCUUCGGCCGACUUUGUAAACUCGAUCUCAAAUCAAGUAAGACUACCCGCUGAACUUAAGCAUAUCAAUAAGCGUAGGA
Molecule: unclassified non-coding RNA, 432 nt
Filed under: soil metagenome
Description: partial contains 5.8S ribosomal RNA, internal transcribed spacer 2, and large subunit ribosomal RNA
Rfam family: 5.8S ribosomal RNA (bases 1-120)
Source: RNAcentral